Small nucleolar RNA from Diceros bicornis minor, 125 nucleotides. RefSeq annotates it as small nucleolar RNA SNORA31. The record is from RefSeq and is a predicted model, not a curated record. The transcript has a single exon. NCBI's taxonomy places the organism in Eukaryota, Metazoa, Chordata, Mammalia, Perissodactyla, Rhinocerotidae.
AUGCAUACAAGUUUGCUAAAGCAAAAGCUAAAUAAGAACCAUGUACCUUGGGAUGCGAGAGAAAGCAGUCCCUGCACUUUCUGCCUGUCUUUGUGGCAGCUCUGAUUGAAUAGGGGAAUACAUCU